This 610-nucleotide ribosomal RNA is filed under the name uncultured Legionella sp. Its description in RNAcentral is "bacterial SSU rRNA". It matches the Rfam family "Bacterial small subunit ribosomal RNA", at positions 224 to 826 of the family's 1533-position model. Lineage: Bacteria; Pseudomonadati; Pseudomonadota; Gammaproteobacteria; Legionellales; Legionellaceae. The record is from RNAcentral.
GAUUAGCCUGCGUCCGAUUAGCUAGUUGGUAGGGUAAAGGCCUACCAAGGCGACGAUCGGUAGCUGGUCUGAGAGGAUGGCCAGCCACACUGGAACUGGGACACGGUCCAGACUCCUACGGGAGGCAGCAGUGGGGAAUAUUGGACAAUGGGGGCAACCCUGAUCCAGCAAUGCCGCGUGUGUGAAGAAGGCCUGAGGGUUGUAAAGCACUUUCAGUGGGGAGGAGGAUUGAUUGGUUAAGAGCUGAUUAAUUGGACGUUACCCACAGAAGAAGCACCGGCUAACUCCGUGCCAGCAGCCGCGGUAAUACGGAGGGUGCGAGCGUUAAUCGGAAUUACUGGGCGUAAAGGGUGCGUAGGUGGUUUGAUAAGUUAUCUGUAAAAGCCCGGGGCUCAACCUUGGAAGGCCAGAUAAUACUGUUGAACUGGAGUAUGGGAGAGGGUAGUGGAAUUUCCGGUGUAGCGGUGAAAUGCGUAGAGAUCGGAAGGAACACCAGUGGCGAAGGCGGCUACCUGGCCUGAUACUGACACUGAAGCACGAAAGCGUGGGGAGCAAACAGGAUUAGAUACCCUGGUAGUCCACGCUGUAAACGAUGUCAACUAGCUGUUGG